GGGGAAUAUUGGGCAAUGGGGGAAACCCUGACCCAGCAACGCCGCGUGAGGGAAGAAGGCUUUCGGGUCGUAAACCUCUGUCCCAUGGGAAGAGCAGAAGACGGUACCAUGGGAGGAAGCCCCGGCUAACUACGUGCCAGCAGCCGCGGUAAUACGUAGGGGGCGAGCGUUGUCCGGAAUGACUGGGCGUAAAGGGCGCGUAGGUGGCCUUACAAGUCUGGAGUGAAAGUCCCGUUUUUAAGGUGGGAAUGGCUUUGGAAACUGUAAGGCUUGAGUGUGGGAGAGGAUAGCGGAAUUCCCGGUGUAGCGGUGAAAUGCGUAGAGAUCGGGAGGAACACCAGUGGCGAAGGCGGCUAUCUGGACCAAGACUGACACUGAAGCGCGAAAGCGUGGGUAGCAAAC
RNAcentral lists this ribosomal RNA (402 nucleotides) under uncultured bacterium. Its description in RNAcentral is "bacterial SSU rRNA". It matches the Rfam family "Bacterial small subunit ribosomal RNA", at positions 356 to 773 of the family's 1533-position model. The record is from RNAcentral.